AGGAGCCUAAACCAGCGUGCGUGCAUGCUGGGGUUAAGGACUGCAACAAGUGACCGGAAGGUUAACAGAAUGGUUUUGGGAAAGCCAGCCAUAGAGGGUGAAAGCCCCGUAUGUGAAAACCGGAAGGAGCGGCAGGAUCCAGAGUACUACGAGACACGUGGAACCUUGUAGGAAAUCGGGGGGACCACCCCCCAAGGCUAAAUACUCCUUAGUGACCGAUAGCGCAUAGUACUGUGAAGGAAAGGUGAAAAGGACCCCGGGAGGGGAGUGAAAGAGAACCUGAAACCCUGUGUUUACAAGCUGUGGAACAUCAUUAUUCGAUGAACCGCGUACUUUUUGUAGAACGGUCCGGCGAGUUACGCUUACUGGCAAGGUUAAGCACUGAAGGUGCGGAGCCGGAGGGAAACCAAGUCUGAAUAGGGCGAUGAGUCAGUAGGAGUAGACCCGAAACCGGGUGAUCUAUCCAUGUCCAGGUUGAAGCUGCCGUAAGAGGUAGUGGAGGACCGAACGCACAUCCGUUGAAAAGGGUGGCGAUGAGGUGUGGAUAGGGGAGAAAUUCCAAUCGAACCCGGAGAUAGCUGGUUCUCCUCGAAAUAGCUUUAGGGCUAGCCUCGUAUUAGUCUAGUGGAGGUAGAGCACUGAAUUUCCUAGGGGGCGUCAAAGCUUACCGAAGAAUAUCAAACUCCGAAUGCCAUAUAGAUGAUGUACGGGAGUCAGACUGCACGAGAUAAGUUGGGCAGUCAAAAGGGAAAGAGCCCAGACCGCCAGCUAAGGUCCCAAAGUGUGUGUUAAGUGGAAAAGGAUGUGGGAUUUCGAAGACAACUAGGAUGUUGGCUCAGAAGCAGCCAUACAUUAAAAGAGUGCGUAAUAGCUCACUAGUCGAGAGGUCCUGCGCCGAAAAUGUCCGGGGCUGAAACACAACACCGAAGCUGCGGAACCCGCAAGGGUUGGUAGAGGAGCAUUCUUAAAGGAACGAAGCAGUACCGUAAGGAGCUGUGGACUUUUAAGAAGAGAGAAUGCCGGAAUGAGUAGCGAGAGUAAGGUGAGAAUCCUUACGGCCGAAUAUCCAAGGUUUCCAGGGUAAAGCUGAUCUGCCCUGGGGAAGUCGGGACCUAAGGCGAGGCCGAGAGGCGUAGCCGAUGGACAACAGGUUGAGAUUCCUGUACUACAGUAUGACAGAACUGUGGGGACGCAGAAGGAGAGCACUACCUGGAAUGGAAUCCAGGGGCAAGCACAGGAGGGGUACGGCUGGAAAAACCGCCGUGCAACCCAAAGGUGUGACGCAUACCGAACUAAAGUAGGGAAAUGUGUGAGCCGGCUGCCGAGAAAAGCCGCUAUUGUUUGUACUGUACCCGUACCGUAAACCGACACAGGUGGAUGAGGAGAGAAUCCUAAGGCCGACGGAAGAAGCAUUGCUAAGGAACUCGGCAAAAUGACCCUGUAACUUCGGGAGAAAGGGUGCCUCGAAAGAGGCCGCAGAGAAUAGGCCCAAGCAACUGUUUAGCAAAAACACAGGUCUAUGCAAAACCGCAAGGUGAAGUAUAUGGGCUGACGCCUGCCCGGUGCUGGAAGGUUAAGGGGAGAUGUCAGGAGACGAAGCAUCGAACUUAAGCCCCAGUAAACGGCGGCCGUAACUAUAACGGUCCUAAGGUAGCGAAAUUCCUUGUCGGGUAAGUUCCGACCCGCACGAAAGGCGUAAUGA
This 1702-nucleotide ribosomal RNA is filed under the name gut metagenome. RNAcentral's name for it is "bacterial LSU rRNA". It matches the Rfam family "Bacterial large subunit ribosomal RNA", at positions 263 to 2007 of the family's 2925-position model. The record is from RNAcentral.